UUCCCUGCAUUGCAAACCUGCAGCGGGGAGGGGGAGAAAGUUAGACACCUAUCGGGGUCUAAAAAAAGCAAAGUAUAAAAAAGCAGCACAGGGCACAGUCCUUGACCAUGCCCUGAGGCAACUGGAGGCCACAUAGAGACGCUCUAGCUGCCCCUCGCCCUGGUAGUGAAACACAUGGCCGGCCAGGGCCAACAUCUGGAUGUAGGAGAGAGGCUGCAGGGCCCUGCCGGAGUGCCACCUCAAGGUUACUGCUGCCCACUCCUGAAGCCACCCAGCUGCACCAGCAGUGCACCACAGAUAGACCCUCCUGCUCCAGCAGCUGGUGGCAGUGGUGGAGAACUGGGCAGCAUGGGAGCAGAAAAGGUCCAACUUUGGCAGUGCCAGUGAAAAUUCCCUCACCUUUCUUGAGGACAACUCAAGAUUUGAAGGACUACUUUGAGAGAUCGCUGAUCAACCAGUAGUUGAUAAGAACUUUCAUCACAACUCAUGUGGACUCCAUUUUAAUUAGAGAUCUAGAAUGAAAAGGUGCUUUCAGCCAGUUGUCAUUAGAAAUAACAUUUUAAUAAUAAAAAAAUAGAUGCAAUUAACUUCUUAUAUAUUGUGAGAAAUAGCUUUUCCUAUGUGAAAUUUCAUGUAAUUUGAAAAGAAAAGUACUCAAUUUAAGAACUAUCCUCUUUAAAGCAAGGUAAUAGAAGUUUUUCUUUCAAAAGACUUUUGUUACAGCCCUGCAUUUUCCCUCAUGGUUUAUGCCAAUUCCAGUAGAGCUAUUGGGGAUACUACACUGAUCCAUUUCUAUCCUCACAAAAGGAUCCUAAUGCUGAAUAUAGUAGGAGGAAACAUGAAAUGCCUGGUCUUUCCUUCAUCCACCUACAGAGAAGUGGCCUGUUUUUUUGUCUGGCCCAGUUCAGAUCCAUUGUAAUUAAUUACCAACUGCACACAUACUUUUGCUAAAUAAAGUUAAACAAAGUACAGUGUGGACUCCAAAGAGACAAAAGGUCUUUCCAAAAUAAUCAAAUUGUCUGAAAAUAUAGAUGGUCCAGAACAAAAACCAAAUACCUUUGAACCUUUAGGCAUAGAUUAAUCUGUAACUGAAAACAGACAAUGAAGGCAUUAUAAUCAGGAAGUGUAAAGAGAAAGAAGACACGUUUAAAAAGGCAAGACAUCCUAUGAUUCAUAUUACUUUAUUGUUCACCGAAUUAAAAGAGAGUAAUUGCUUGUGAUGUGACGAAGUCUCCAAAAUCCAUCCGAAUGGAAUUGCAGAAUCAUUGAAAUGUAGAGGAUGGCAAUAAGCUGGCCCUGACUGUGGUCAAUUUGAGCUUCAUACAAUCCAGAAAGGUGGGAAAAGCAGAAAAUGCCAUUUAUCACCUUUGCCUCAUACAUUCUGGAAACAGCCAGGCACCACAGCAGUCCAUGGUGUAAACAAAGGUAACCCCUAGGACUGCUCAGUGCCCACUACAGUUCUUAGUGAAGCUGUUUGGUGCUCCAGCCCUGGCUUCCUCCUCCAUUGGCCACUCCCUCAGCUUGUCCCUGUGCCAAGGGCCCCGAGGAAGGUUAACAUAAGCCCAUUCUGUAGUGUAGGCCCUACAUGACUAGGCAGUUGCCCAUGCACAUAGGUGGUUUCCCUCUUGAAAUGACUAGUCAGGUCUGUGGUUCCUGUACACCCAAGGCCAAUGUUGAAGGGUAGCAUUAUUGGGCAGACCAUGUCCCACUAGUCAGCAGAAUCUGUUAUGUUAUUUAUAUGAACACAGGAACAACAGUAUGUAGGCUGCCUUUUUAUGUUUUGGAAAUGAAGCUCAAAGUACUAUUUUAUCAGAAUAACUCCUGUCUUAACUAAGAUUGUGUGAUCUUUAUUCAUGUUUAAGGAAAACAGGUUAAUGGUUUCCAUACAGUUCCACAUUGUAACCCACACUGACAAAUCAUUGUAUGGAAUGCGAGAUAAUUCAAUAUGAUCAGCAAUUUUGCUUGAGACAGGCCCAGAGCUGAUUUAUCAUAAAAAUAUUAAAACUUCUCCUUCCUUAAAAAAGAAAUGGAUGACUUUUCCAGGCCAUUACUGUGAGGUAAAAAUAGUGAAGAAUCAAAAGUAUAAAUACCUGUG
This is a long non-coding RNA of Alligator mississippiensis (American alligator), 2095 nucleotides long. RefSeq lists it as uncharacterized. The record is from RefSeq and is a predicted model, not a curated record. The transcript has 4 exons. Lineage: Eukaryota; Metazoa; Chordata; Crocodylia; Alligatoridae.